Molecule: ribosomal RNA, 253 nt
Filed under: uncultured bacterium
Lineage: Bacteria
Description: partial 16S ribosomal RNA
Rfam family: Bacterial small subunit ribosomal RNA
Source: RNAcentral
GACGGGGGAGGCAAGCGUUGUCCGGAAUUAUUGGGCGUAAAGAGCGCGUAGGUGGUUUAUCAAGUCAUUUGUGAAAACUUUAGGCUUAACUUAAAGAUUGCAAGUGAUACUGGUAUACUUGAGCACAGCAGAGGAAAGUGGAAUUCCUGGUGUAGCGGUGAAAUGCGCAGAUAUCAGGAAGAACACCAGUGGCGAAGGCGGCUUUCUGGGCUGUUGCUGACACUGAGGCGCGAAAGCUAGGGGAGCGAACAGG